This 450-nucleotide ribosomal RNA is filed under the name uncultured bacterium. RNAcentral describes it as "partial 16S ribosomal RNA". It matches the Rfam family "Bacterial small subunit ribosomal RNA", at positions 338 to 795 of the family's 1533-position model. The record is from RNAcentral.
CCUACGGGUGGCUGCAGUGAGGAAUAUUGGUCAAUGGGCGCGAGCCUGAACCAGCCAAGUCGCGUGAAGGAUGACGGUCCUAGGGAUUGUAAACUUCUUUUGUGCAGGAAUAAAGUGAGGAACGUGUUCCUUUUUGUAUGUACUGUACGAAUAAGCAGCGGCUAACUCCGUGCCAGCAGCCGCGGUAAUACGGAGGAUGCGAGCGUUAUCCGGAUUUAAGGGGGCGUAAGGGUGCGGAGGCGUGCGGGGUGAAAGUUUGCAGCUUAACUGUAAAAUUGCCAUUGAAACUGUUAGUCUUGAGUGCAAAUGAGGUAGGCGGAAUGUGUUGUGUAGCGGUGAAAUGCUUAGAUAUAACACAGAACUCCGAUUGCGAAGGCAGCUUACUGGGAUGCAACUGACGCUGAUGCACGAAAGCGUGGGUAUCAAACAGGAUUAGAUACCCGGGUAGUC